UACGUAGGCAGCAAGCGUUGUUCGGAGUUACUGGGCGUAAAGGGUGUGUAGGCGGUUGGAUAAGUGUGGUGUGAAAUCUCCCGGCUUAACUGGGAGGGUGCGCUACAAACUGUCUGACUAGAGUGUGGGAUGGGAAAGUGGAAUUCCUGGUGUAGCGGUGAAAUGCGUAGAUAUCAGGAGUAACACCGGUGGUGUAGACGGCUUUCUGGACCAUAACUGGCGCUGAAACACGAAAGCGUGGGUAGCAAACAGG
Molecule: ribosomal RNA, 253 nt
Filed under: uncultured bacterium
Lineage: Bacteria
Description: partial 16S ribosomal RNA
Rfam family: Bacterial small subunit ribosomal RNA
Source: RNAcentral